Molecule: non-coding RNA, 82 nt
Organism: Echinops telfairi (small Madagascar hedgehog)
Lineage: Eukaryota; Metazoa; Chordata; Mammalia; Afrosoricida; Tenrecidae
Source: Rfam
UGGUGCACUGCUCUGACCUACUAACCCAGCCUCUACUAACCCUGGUUUUUCUUACUAACCCCGGCCCUGCCGAGCUCUGGGU